Molecule: long non-coding RNA, 2057 nt
Organism: Solea solea (common sole)
Lineage: Eukaryota; Metazoa; Chordata; Actinopteri; Pleuronectiformes; Soleidae
Exons: 3
Source: RefSeq, a predicted model, not a curated record
UUUUUUGCGUUUGUCUCACCAGGUUGUUUGCAUCGUAGAUGGUGAUCUCUCCGAUGGUGGCGCUGCCAGGGUACGCCAGGUAUGAGUUACCGUGGUUGACGGAGAGAGCGCAGAGACCUACGACGGGAGAAAGCAGGACACUUUAGAUCAUUGGUCAGCAUGUCUGUGUCGUCGUGCCUCUCACCUGUCUGUUGAGCCUGACGGAGAGGAUGUUGUUGGAGUAGCUGUAGUUACAGAUCUCCGUGCCCUUCUUGAAGUGGUAGACGUUCAUUCGCCGCGGCAUGGACAGACUGACCACCACCACCAGGCUGCUGGAGAACAGCCGCUCCACGAUGUACACGUCUGGACAUUCAACUGCAAGACGAGACAAGAGGUUUCCCACACCUUUGUUGACUUAAAAUUCAAGGACUUUCCAGGAUCAAUUCCCUCAAAUUCAAGGACAGAAUGUUCCGACACGGCUUAAGAUGGGAGGGCGGCUUGUAAGAGCGUCUUCGCUCAUGGCGUCCACUUUUAUUGAUUUGCAGCACGCUCUGCAUCUGGACAAGUGAAUGUCCUUGGGAUCUUGGUCAAAGCCAGUCUUUGUACAGACAGAGAUCUUGACAUUUUAAUUUCCCAGGCAUCACGUCGUCAUUUGCUCUCUCUUUGCUAAACGUUACUCGCUUGUUGUUUUGAGUUUAAUCUCACGUCAAUCUUACUGUCUCUCUCACGUCACGGAGGGAGUGCUAUUAAUUAUGACUCGAUGUUUGUUCUGCGUAGGCCUGCGAAGUCUACGUAUAUCAAGCAUUGAAGGGCAACAGUAGGUGGCGUCGCAACAAACAAGGGAGACGUUUAUCUUAAUAUCAACUGAACUUCUUUCUUUCACAUUUCAAUGACCCAUGUCUAUUUAGGGCAAUUUUCAAAAGUUUUCAGAGGCCUUGAAGUGUUUUCCCAAAUUCACAAACUUUCAAGGAUUUCAAGAACCUGUGGGAACGCCGUGUAUUGAAUUUCACCUUUUUAUCUUGCCGAUAUCCAAUCCGGUGAUUUUUAAACCGAUAUUGAUAUUAACUGUAUUAUCGACUCAUUUCUACCAGGAACCAUCCAGCACGACCACCGUCAGUUACAGGAGCUUUGCUGAUGGGACAUGUACUCUCAGACUAACGUAGAAACAAGAAUAACGUCUAUUUAUUUCCUACCUCCUUCAUGGAUACAGUCCAGUUUGUCCACAGCGGUGACUGAGAAGAGUCGGUAGCCAGUCUUGGUGCCAACAGACAGAGAACUACGAUAGAAACACAGCACACACCAUCUAACCAACCACAUUCACAUACACCUUUAAGGUGUACAAUAACAUACUAACACAGCACAGUGCUAGCUGGUUGUCUCUGCACCAGGGUGCAGUUUUACAUUGGAUAAGCAGAGAUAAGAGACAUGAGACGAAGCAGUUACCUGCGUUCACUUCCUGACUGGUGAUGCCUCGACUUCUGGCUGAAAACAAAAGGCUUUAGUCUCAGCUUUCUCUCAUUGUUUACUCUCCCUUUUCAUUGUUUUUGUUUCUUGUUGAAAGUAUGUUACUGAAACUAAAACAUGCAGAGGAGAAGGUCAUCUGUUUACACCAGCACAUGUAAAUCAAUGUAGCGUAAAGUUUGUGUGUGAGAGACUUUUAGUAUGUGUGAGAUGGGAAAUUUAUGAGCUGUUCAUUUCUAUUUUGAGGUGGCAUGAAAGUCCCAGGGGGCCCCAUUAGCCUGGGCCCUCAAACUCCUUUAAAACGUCACUGCAUGAGGCCUAAAUGUGUUAAAUCCACAGUUUAAAGCUGUGUCAGUUUUUACACAGCAGCUGGUUUGGUCACUAACUGUGUAUGUGAAAGUGCAACAGGCCUAAAAAGAUUAUCACAGUGGCCUAAUUCACUCUCAGCUGAUCUGGAAGUUUUACACGAGGCAUUUAAACGCUUGUAGUUUAGGUUUGGACGCACAAAACAACGAAUUACACUGUGUUUAAAUGCGGUUUUGACAAUAAUAAUACAUCAACAGUCAAAGGACACUGAGUUCAAGGAGGGCCGGAACCGCAGGUCGCUUACGUGGUGU